This is a long non-coding RNA of Haliotis rubra (blacklip abalone), 191 nucleotides long. RefSeq lists it as uncharacterized. NCBI's taxonomy places the organism in Eukaryota, Metazoa, Mollusca, Gastropoda, Lepetellida, Haliotidae. The transcript is spliced from 3 exons. The record is from RefSeq and is a predicted model, not a curated record.
UGCACAGUAAUGAGCAACCCAUUUGGUUUGUGGAAGGUAGAGCGGAUGUAGGCUAGUGCAUGUGCAUUACAUGACGAUGAAAUUGAUUCCGCGCGUAGCUGCACACGCCUUGCUCAUGAGACUCUCACAUGGUCGGUGUAGUACUACACUUGAUCGCGGACAACCUGGGGCCCCUUCGCUAACAAUGGCAA